Molecule: ribosomal RNA, 315 nt
Filed under: uncultured eukaryote
Lineage: Eukaryota
Description: partial 18S ribosomal RNA
Rfam family: Eukaryotic small subunit ribosomal RNA
Source: RNAcentral
CCCUUAGACGUUCUGGGUCGCACGCGCGCUACACUGACCGGUGCAACAAGCAUCCGUCCUUGGCCGACAGGCCCGGGCAAUCUUUGAACGCCGGUCGUGAUGGGGAUAGACUUUUGCAAUUUUUGGUCUUCAACGAGGAAUUCCUAGUAAACGCAAGUCAUCAACUUGCAUUGAUUACGUCCCUGCCCUUUGUACACACCGCCCGUCGCACCUACCGAUUGAAUGGUCCGGUGAAGCCUCCGGAUUGGCGCGCACCUCGGUGCCGCCGAGAAGUUGGCUAAACCUUACCAUUUAGAGGAAGGUGAAGUCGUAACA